Molecule: non-coding RNA, 148 nt
Organism: Karstenula rhodostoma CBS 690.94
Lineage: Eukaryota; Fungi; Ascomycota; Dothideomycetes; Pleosporales; Didymosphaeriaceae
Source: the annotation of a GenBank genome assembly
GGCUUCAUGGUCUAGUGGUGUAAGUUUGCCCUCCUCGCCUCGCUAGCUAGCUACAACGAAUGUAAAACUAAUAUGCACAGAUGAUUCCUGCUUUGGGUUGUUAAACACAAAGUGCAGGAGGCCCCGCGUUCGAAUCGCGGUGGAGCCC